Long non-coding RNA from Diabrotica virgifera virgifera (western corn rootworm), 598 nucleotides. RefSeq lists it as uncharacterized. The record is from RefSeq and is a predicted model, not a curated record. Lineage: Eukaryota; Metazoa; Arthropoda; Insecta; Coleoptera; Chrysomelidae. The transcript has 2 exons.
CCAAGCUCUGCUUGGUAUUUGUCCCUCGGACUAUAUAUUUCUAGAAGCGACCCUACUACCGUCAAGUCAAUUAGUAUUAUACAUCUCUUCGAAGCUAUUUAAUGCGAUAAAAAUUUGUACUAGCUCCCUUUUGCCAUUGCCACGUAAAUCAGGCACAAUAUUGGCAUACAUUAUCGUGUUUGUGUGUAGGCCGUUAAACAAUGGCCCCUACCUCGGGAAGAAGAUUUUAAUCAAGCACCUGGAAAAGAAAACCUUCUACCGCUACCUUGGAGAGCGAAUUAGCUUACAACCGCAUCCUGAUGCAGUAGAAUAAAUUAAACAAGACAGCCCUACAGAGACAAGACAGCCCAACAACGUAGCCCUAGACUUCCUUUAACUACCGGCCACGACAAAUUCUACAGGGAUUGGGGACCUCCUUUAGGAACUGUAACGGAAGGACUUAAAGCUGAGUAAAUUUUUACCUUUAUAACUUUUGUACCGAUUACCAGCGGGGUCUCGGUCACGGGCUUAGAAAAUUAACUUGGUCAUCAGUAUACAAUAAAAAUGAUUUUUGUUAAGUUUUUUGUUAUAUUUCAAUAAAUAGCGUAUUUAAAAAUGA